RNAcentral lists this long non-coding RNA (1132 nucleotides) under Equus asinus (donkey). RNAcentral's name for it is "lncRNA (ENSEASG00005038645.1)". The record is from RNAcentral. Lineage: Eukaryota; Metazoa; Chordata; Mammalia; Perissodactyla; Equidae.
GCCGGCUCGGCAGGAACCACAGAGGAGGGGGAGCGAGGGGCGGGGCCGGGCGUAGGGGCGGGGCCUGCGCGCACGCGUCCUCGGGGCGGGGCGGGCUCCGCAGCUGGGCCGGCGCUCUGUCCCGCGCACCUGGCGCUCCCGGAACGUGCUGCGCGUCCUCGUAGAGGCAGUAACCGUGGUCUUCAAGAAAAUAUUCUCCCCCUGAGCGCUGAGAACAUCCAGCACCAAGAGGAGAGGAGAUGCCAAAGCGGGACUGAAAGAACUAAAGGCUCAGAUGGAGGAAUCUCUUCUGGGCCCUCCAAGAACAGCCUCUCAUUCCUCCUCCAAUGCCGUGGUUCUGGAGAUCCUUUCUUUUUCCACUGGAUAUCCCCAAGCCUGGGCCCAAAUCCUUCACCCACAACAGGACUGUAGCCUCCCAACUCUCCGCCCCACCCCCACCCCAGGCCUUCAUUUGCCAAACCCUGGUCUUGUGAGAGGGUCUGGAGAGUCCAAAGUAUAAAAAGCUCCCAAGAGAAAAGUAUGUGCAGGCCAGGUCUCCUCAUGGAGCCAUGGGGUCCCCCUGCUGCUGAGUAGGUUCUAGCCCUCCCAGGUCAUUCUAGCUGGAUACGUGGAGAUGUCAAACUUGAAUGGAGCGGGGAGGAUGAACAUAGAAAACACACUGAUUAGUACUUGAACAUAAAGUCUUGGACAGGCGUAAUACAGGACCCCAGAAUUCCACUCCUUGUUGUGUGAUCCACUGAGUUCAGGACACCUGCACAAUAAGAACCAUAGCCUCAUUGUGUGAAAGAGCCGCAAACUGGAAACAACCCAAAUGUCCAUCGUCAAUAGAAUGGAGAACUAAAUCGGGGUAUAGUUCGUUAGCCAUGGCAACGGAGGAAUCACUGAUGACUCCUGAAUCCAUAAUUUUUAGUGAAAAAAGCCAGACAGAAGAGAAUAUAUACUGCAUGAUUACAGGUUAAACCCAGACCUGUGCGGAGUGCAUGAUAAAUGAAACUAUGAAGUAAACGAGGAAUGGAACACCAUGAACAUAAGACUGUGGUUACUGCUAAGGGCAGGGAAUAAAAUGUCUUUAGGAAGGGGCACGUGUGAAGCUUCUGGAAGUCUCAUAAAUUGUAGGUAUUGAUCUAGGUGG